RNAcentral lists this long non-coding RNA (1039 nucleotides) under Salmo salar (Atlantic salmon). Its description in RNAcentral is "lncRNA (ENSSSAG00000083426.1)". Lineage: Eukaryota; Metazoa; Chordata; Actinopteri; Salmoniformes; Salmonidae. The record is from RNAcentral.
UACAAUUUUGCUUGUCACAUGCGCCAAAUAUAAACAGGGGUAGACUUUACAGCAAAAUGCUUACUUACGGGCUAUAUAUAUAUAUAUAUAAAUAAAUAAAUAAAACGUAUUUUUGAUAGAAUAAACACCGGGCAAACUGACAUUAUUUGAUUAUUCUUUCUGAAAAUGUCAGCCUAUUUGUUGUAUUAGCCUCUUUACCAUUCUCCAUAAUGCUCUCUAUCAUUUCUUCACAGCCCUUAGACACAUCUCUAUUUCUGAUCUUCAAGACUCCCCCUCUUCUCUUUGGUUUUCCUUUUGUUCCAUGGUCUGAUCCCCAACUCGGCAAGCUGUCCCACAGAGAGGCUGGAGGGCGAGAAGAGGAAACACCAGGCACGCAACAAAAGUCCACCUGGCCGUGCUGCUGCUCCAGUUUCAACUGUUCUGCCUGCGGCUAUGGAACCCUGACCUGUUCACCGGACGUGCUUGUUGCACCCUCGACAACUACUAUGAUUAUUAUUAUUUGACCAUGCUGGUCAUUUAUGAACAUUUGAACAUUUUAACAUCUUGACCAUGUUCUGUAUAAUAUCCACCCUGCACAGCCAGAAGAGGACUGGCCACCCCUCAUAGCCUGGUUCCUCUCUAGGUUUCUUCCUAGGUUUUUUGGCCUUUCUAGGGAGUUUUUCCUAGGGAGUUUUUCCUAGCCACCGUGCUUCUUUCACAUGCUUUGCUUGCUGUUUGGGGUUUUAGGCUGGGUUUCUGUACAGCACUUUGAGAAUAUCAGCUGAUGUACGAAGGGCUAUAUAAAAAUACAUUUGUUUGAUUUGAUUUGAGGGACAUGAUUUUAGAAACUACACUGCUCAAAAAAAUAAAGGGAACACUAAAAUAACACAUCCUAGAUCUGAAUGAAUGAAAAAUCUUAUUAAAUUAUUUUUUCUUAACGUAGUUGAAUGUGCUGACAACAAAAUCACACAAAAAUAAUCAAUGGAAAUCCAAUUUAUCAACCCAUGGAGGUCUGGAUUUGGAGUCACACUCAAAAUUAAAGUGGAAAACCACACUACAG